Molecule: long non-coding RNA, 793 nt
Organism: Bos taurus (domestic cattle)
Lineage: Eukaryota; Metazoa; Chordata; Mammalia; Artiodactyla; Bovidae
Source: Ensembl
GGAACUGAGAUCCCACUUCCAGUUGCUGCUCACUGUGGCUGCCCGACGACUACCCGAGCCCAGGGUGAAUGUGGGGAGAACCUGAUGGACAUGGUCACGGACAAUGGGAUGCACGGAGCCAGGGUUUGGGACGGAAAUCUGGGCAGGAGAUGUGAAUUUGGGAGAGUGAAAGUUGCUCAGUCCUGUCUGACUCUUUGCAAUUCCAUGGACUGUAGCCCACCAGUCUCCUCUGUUCAUGGAAUUCUUCAGAGCCUCCACGUGUUGCAGUCCAGGCAACAGUCCAUAGAGUCGCAAACAGUCGGACAUGACUGAGCCACUAAGCGUGUACACAUAGCGGAUCAACAAUGUUGCGGUCGUUUUAUAUGGACAGCGAAGAGACUCAGCCAUACGUAUACAUGGAUCCAUUCUCCCCAGACCGUCCUCCCGUCCAGGCUGGCACCCAACACGUACAGCCAAUGGAAACAGAAGGAGGCGCAUAGACUAUGGUUGCUGAGGGGGAAGGGAUAGUUAGGGGCUUUGGGAAUCUCACGCACACCCUGCUGUAUUCACAGUGGAUAACCAACAACCGCCUGCUGGCGCUGCUGGAGCAAAGUGCCAUAGAUUUCCCGAGAAAUCUGUAUGCAGCUCAAAAAGCAACAGUUAGAAAUGAGCAUGGAACAACGGACUGGUUCCAAAUUGGGAAAGGAGUACAUCAAGGCUGUAUAUUGUCACCUUGCUGAUUUAACUUAUAUGCAGAGUACAUCAUGCAAAUUCCAGACUGGAUGAAGCACACCUGGAAUCAAGAUUGCCAGGA